Long non-coding RNA from Chinchilla lanigera (long-tailed chinchilla), 1232 nucleotides. RefSeq lists it as uncharacterized. The record is from RefSeq and is a predicted model, not a curated record. Lineage: Eukaryota; Metazoa; Chordata; Mammalia; Rodentia; Chinchillidae. The transcript has 6 exons.
UUACCUCAGUGCCCUGAGUUGAUUCAAAACAUUUAUCUUUUAUGGUGAUUUUGACUUUGCCAAAGAACCAAAAGGUAUGUGGAGCCAGAUCUGGUGAAUAAUGUGGAUGAAACACACCCUACUGUUUUUGUGAGACUAUCUUUCCAUUAACUGGGACUUGGUAGCAGCGUUCGCUCUAUUUUUGGUCAUACCUUGUAAGGAUGUAAAAGAGAACUACUACAAGUGCUUCAGAAAGUGGUACAAACAGUGAAAAGGUAUAUACGGAUUCAUAGACCUUUCGAGUGCGGAGGGUAAAUGGUGAAAACACAGUUCCCCUGGAAAGAAAUGCAGAAGAAAGAUGGAUAGAAGAUGAAUAGUCCCACAAAGGAGAUGUCUUUUCUCCUGGGCUGUGUAGAGACACACAGCAGUACUUCAGAAUAAAAGUCAACAGUGGUCAAACCAAGAGCCAGAGCCGAAGGCUGAUGAUGAACUCGGAAAUUCAGCAAGUGCAAGAGAUGCUCUCUAGAUAGGACGAAGCCUCCUUUCAUUCCUUGAGCUGGGAUAGGACAACUCCCAGUGCUCAGCAGUUUUCAGGCCCUGGAUAUUGUUUCUCCCAUUUGCACUGGACGAUCCCGACGGAUUCAUCUUGAUCUCCAUGUGGAAAUCACCACUGACUGAGCAACUCAGAAGCUGCUUUCUGGGGAUGGUGGAAUGUGGCCCCAAGCAUGGUCCCUGUGCAUCAUUGAGGGACAGAGUGUCCCACCCCCUCGGACUCUUGUAACACAGACAAAUGGAUGUCCAUUUAUUUGAAUUAGCAUAUGACAUCUUGAAAGAAAUGGAAAAAAAUCUUAAGGAACCAGUUGCUGAGGAUGAGAAUCAGGAGAAUCUGACCUCUUCCUGAAUGUGUAAGGAUCAAGGCAUCUAGAAAUGUCAAGAGGAGCUGUAAAAAGCAUCUGUAGUAAAACUCUAUGUAUGUUUUGCGAAAAUAUAGGAAGCAUAAAGGUCAUGAUGUUUAUCUGCAGAAACCUAACAAAGAUCACCUCAGAAAACCUAAUUUUUGGUUAUUCUGUAAGUGAAGUAAGAGUGAAGCAAAUUCAUAGGAUGAUAUUGAAGAAAACUGUGUUUCCAGUCCAAAAGGCCAAGAUGAAGAAACGACACUCUCUCCUCUUCUUUAAUAUGCUUGUAAAAAAAAAUGUGAAGACUUCAAAGAAGAAAAAAAUCAGAGAUUGGAAAAAUUAUAGAUGAAUUUUAUA